RNAcentral lists this ribosomal RNA (497 nucleotides) under uncultured bacterium. RNAcentral describes it as "partial 16S ribosomal RNA". It matches the Rfam family "Bacterial small subunit ribosomal RNA", at positions 28 to 507 of the family's 1533-position model. The record is from RNAcentral.
GACGAACGCUGGCGGCGUGCCUAAUACAUGCAAGUUGAGCGCUGAAGGUUGGUACUUGUACCAACUGGAUGAGCAGCGAACGGGUGAGUAACGCGUGGGGAAUCUGCCUUUGAGCGGGGGACAACAUUUGGAAACGAAUGCUAAUACCGCAUAAAAACUUUAAACACAAGUUUUAAGUUUGAAAGAUGCAAUUGCAUCACUCAAAGAUGAUCCCGCGUUGUAUUAGCUAGUUGGUGAGGUAAAGGCUCACCAAGGCGAUGAUACAUAGCCGACCUGAGAGGGUGAUCGGCCACAUUGGGACUGAGACACGGCCCAAACUCCUACGGGAGGCAGCAGUAGGGAAUCUUCGGCAAUGGACGAAAGUCUGGCCGAGCAACGCCGCGUGAGUGAAGAAGGUUUUCGGAUCGUAAAACUCUGUUGGUAGAGAAGAACGUUGGUGAGAGUGGAAAGCUCAUCAAGUGACGGUAACUACCCAGAAAGGGACGGCUAACUACGUG